Sparus aurata (gilthead seabream) is the source of this 1695-nucleotide long non-coding RNA. NCBI's taxonomy places the organism in Eukaryota, Metazoa, Chordata, Actinopteri, Spariformes, Sparidae. The record is from Ensembl.
CACAGAUUCAGUCCACAGGAAGCUGAAGCUCCUCAGCUGAAACGUCUCUGUGUGAGUUUCCAUUCAGAGGAAGUGAAGAAACACGUGGAGAAGCAGUUAGCUAGCAGAAACACAGCGGCUCUGCUCCUGCUGCUCCUGCUGCUCCUCCUGCUGCUCCUCCAGUCUGCUCCAUCAGUCUGCUGCUCCUCCUGCUGCUCCUCCAGUCUGCUCCAUCAGUCUGCUGCUCCUCCUGCUGCUCCUCCUGCUGCUCCUCCAGUCUGCUCCAUCAGUCUGCUCCUCCUCCUGCUGCUCCUCCAGUCUGCUCCUUCAGUCUGCUCCUCCUGCUGCUCCUCCAGUCUGCUCCAUCAGUCUGCUGCUCCUCCUGUCUGCUCCUCCUGCUGCUCCUCCUGCUCCUCCUCCUGUCUGCUCCAUCAGUCUGCUCCUCCUCCUGCUGCUCCUCCAGUCUGCUCCUCCUGCUCCUCCUCCUGCUCCUCCUCCUGUCUGCUCCUCCUGCUGCUCCUCCUGCUGCUCCUCCUGUCUGCUCCUCCUGUCUGCUCCUCCUCCUGCUGCUCCAUCAGUCUGCUCCUCCUGUCUGCUCCUCCUGCUGCUCCUCCAGUCUGCUCCUCCUGUCUGCUCCUCCUCCUGCUGCUCCAUCAGUCUGCUCCUCCUGUCUGCUCCUCCUGCUGCUCCUCCAGUCUGCUCCUCCUGCUCCUCCUGCUGCUCCUCCUGCUGCUCCAGUCUGCUCCAUCAGUCUGCUCCUCCAGUCUGCUCCUCCUGCUGCUCCUCCUGCUGCUCCUUCAGUCUGCUGCUCCUCCUGUUGCUCCUCCAGUCUGCUCUUCCAGUCUGCUCCUCCUGCUGCUCCUCCAGUCUGCUCCUUCAGUCUGCUCCAUCAGUCUGCUCCUUCAGUCUGCUCCAUCAGUCUGCUCCUCCUGCUGCUCCUUCAGUCUGCUCCUUCAGUCUGCUCCUCCUCCUGCUCCUCCAGUCUGCUCCUUCAGUCUGCUCCUUCAGUCUGCUCCUCCUCCUGCUCCUCCAGUCUGCUCCUUCAGUCUGCUCCUUCAGUCUGCUCCUCCUCCUGCUCCUCCAGUCUGCUCCUUCAGUCUGCUCCUUCAGUCUGCUCCUCCUGCUGCUCCUCCAGUCUGCUCCUUCAGUCUGCUCCUCCUCCUGCUCCUCCAGUCUGCUCCUUCAGUCUGCUCCUUCAGUCUGCUCCUCCUGCUGCUCCUCCAGUCUGCUCCUUCAGUCUGCUCCUCCUCCUGCUCCUCCAGUCUGCUCCUUCAGUCUGCUCCUCCUCCUGCUCCUCCAGUCUGCUCCAUCAGUCUGCUCCUCCUGCUGCUCCUCCUGCUGCUCCUGCUGCUCCUCCUGCUCCUCCUGCUGCUCCAUCAGUCUGCUCCUCUCCUCCUGCUCCUCCUGCUGCUCCUCUUGCUGCUGCUCCUGCUGCUCCUCCUGCUCCUCCUGCUGCUCCUCCAGUCUGCUCCUCUCCUCCUGCUCCUCUCCUGCUGCUCCUCCUGCUCCUCCUGCUCCUCCUGCUGCUCCUCCAGUCAGCCUGAGUUGACAGCGGCCUCACCCACUGGACUCAGCUGCGGCUCUAAACUGAACCUGUUGAAACGUGCUGCAGCAGCUCUGCUCAGUCAGAUGCUGUCUGAGGACGUUAACAUUACAGAAAACUUCAUGAAGAAGACAUUUAAUAUUAAAACCCCCAUGAUGCUUUGGGGGAUGUAA